GAUAAGCCUGGGAAACUGGGUCUAAUACCGGAUAUGACUCCUCAUCGCAUGGUGGGGGGUGGAAAGCUUUUGUGGUUUUGGAUGGACUCGCGGCCUAUCAGCUUGUUGGUGAGGUAAUGGCUCACCAAGGCGACGACGGGUAGCCGGCCUGAGAGGGUGACCGGCCACACUGGGACUGAGACACGGCCCAGACUCCUACGGGAGGCAGCAGUGGGGAAUAUUGCACAAUGGGCGCAAGCCUGAUGCAGCGACGCCGCGUGAGGGAUGACGGCCUUCGGGUUGUAAACCUCUUUCAGUAGGGAAGAAGCGAAAGUGACGGUACCUGCAGAAGAAGCGCCGGCUAACUACGUGCCAGCAGCCGCGGUAAUACGUAGGGCGCAAGCGUUAUCCGGAAUUAUUGGGCGUAAAGAGCUCGUAGGCGGUUUGUCGCGUCUGCCGUGAAAGUCCGGGGCUCAACUCCGGAUCUGCGGUGGGUACGGGCAGGCUAGAGUGGUGUAGGGGAGACUGGAAUUCCUGGUGUAGCGGUGAAAUGCGCAGAUAUCAGGAGGAACACCGAUGGCGAAGGCAGGUCUCUGGGCAUUAACUGACGCUGAGGAGCG
RNAcentral lists this ribosomal RNA (599 nucleotides) under uncultured bacterium. RNAcentral describes it as "bacterial SSU rRNA". It matches the Rfam family "Bacterial small subunit ribosomal RNA", at positions 142 to 755 of the family's 1533-position model. The record is from RNAcentral.